UGGGGAAUAUUGGACAAUGGGCGCAAGCCUGAUCCAGCCAUGCCGCGUGUGUGAAGAAGGCCUUAGGGUUGUAAAGCACUUUCAGUGGGGAGGAAGGGUGUUGUGUUAAUAGCACAGCAUUUUGACGUUACCCACAGAAGAAGCACCGGCUAACUCCGUGCCAGCAGCCGCGGUAAUACGGAGGGUGCAAGCGUUAAUCGGAAUUACUGGGCGUAAAGCGCACGCAGGCGGCUUUUUAAGUCGGAUGUGAAAGCCCCGGGCUCAACCUGGGAAUUGCAUCUGAUACUGGGAAGCUAGAGUAUGUGAGAGGGGGGUAGAAUUCCAAGUGUAGCGGUGAAAUGCGUAGAGAUUUGGAGGAAUACCAGUGGCGAAGGCGGCCCCCUGGCACAAUACUGACGCUCAGGUGCGAAAGCGUGGGGAGCAAAACAGGAUUAGAUACCCUGGUAGUCCACGCCGUAAACGAUGUCUACUAGAUGUUCGUGGUCUUGUACCGUGAGUAUCGCAGCUAACGCAUUAAGUAGACCGCCUGGGGAGUACGGUCGCAAGAUUAAAAACUCAAAGGAAUUGACGGGGUCAUAGCUGUUUCCU
Molecule: ribosomal RNA, 588 nt
Filed under: uncultured bacterium
Lineage: Bacteria
Description: partial 16S ribosomal RNA
Rfam family: Bacterial small subunit ribosomal RNA
Source: RNAcentral